This 499-nucleotide long non-coding RNA is filed under the name Anneissia japonica. RNAcentral's name for it is "uncharacterized LOC117110294, transcript variant X4". Lineage: Eukaryota; Metazoa; Echinodermata; Crinoidea; Comatulida; Comatulidae. The record is from RNAcentral.
GUAGUUAAAUGAGAUCAUGCUGCUAUAAUUUAAAUGAAAUAGUAGGCCUACGUAUUUCCAUUGAUGAAUAAUAAGACCAUCGUAAGUCUACUGUAGGCUAGGCUAAUUUCUGUUGAGAGGUAAAAUGUUAUGAGAUCGCUGAUCGAUAUGUAUAUACGACUAAUUUCUCCAUUUCUGAUUGCCUGGAUUCCAUUUUAUUAAUUCUUCGAAGCAGAGACUCCUGGUUUUAAGUACGGUGUCAAGCCAACCUCUAAGUUCACCUGCAAGAUUUUCAAUUUCCCGCGAUUCAAGACGACUAUUCCCGGGUCUGGUUUGGCGGGAGAUGAGGUUGGCUGGGUUCCGGAAUCGACCAGCUCUGACGACGAACUAAAAAAUUUGUAAAGUCCAACCAUUUCAAAAUGCACUUCUGGAGAUCUCAGUAACUAGUGGACCAGUGGAUAUAAUGUUGCUUUCUCGUUUUGUGCUCGUUAAUUUUGCUGAAUGCGAACCAGUUGGCUCA